GACGAACGCUGGCGGCGUGCUUAACACAUGCAAGUCGAACGGAAAGGCUCCAGCUUGCUGGAGUACUCGAGUGGCGAACGGGUGAGUAACACGUGGGUAAUCUGCCCUGCACUCUGGGAUAAGCCUGGGAAACUGGGUCUAAUACUGGAUAUGACCUUUCUCCUUAUGGGGUUUGGUGGAAAGUUUUUCGGUGUAGGAUGAGCCCGCGGCCUAUCAGCUUGUUGGUGGGGUGAUGGCCUACCAAGGCGACGACGGGUAGCCGGCCUGAGAGGGUGAUCGGGCACAUUGGGCCUGAGAUACGGCCCAGACUCCUACGGGAGGCAGCAGUGGGGAAUAUUGCACAAUGGGCGGAAGCCUGAUGCAGCGACGCCGCGUGAGGGAUGACGGCCUUCGGGUUGUAAACCUCUUUCAGCAGGGACGAAGCGUAAGUGACGGUACCUGCAGAAGAAGCACCGGCUAACUAUGUG
This 467-nucleotide ribosomal RNA is filed under the name uncultured bacterium. RNAcentral's name for it is "partial 16S ribosomal RNA". It matches the Rfam family "Bacterial small subunit ribosomal RNA", at positions 28 to 507 of the family's 1533-position model. The record is from RNAcentral.